Molecule: ribosomal RNA, 433 nt
Filed under: uncultured bacterium
Lineage: Bacteria
Description: partial 16S ribosomal RNA
Rfam family: Bacterial small subunit ribosomal RNA
Source: RNAcentral
AACGAACGCUGGCGGCGUGCCUAACACAUGCAAGUCGAACGAGACCUUCGGGUCUUGUGGCGCACGGGUUCGUAACGCGUGGGAACCUGCCCUUAGGUUCGGAAUAACUCCCCGAAUGGGGUGCUAAUACCGGAUAAUGUCUUCGGCCCAAGGAUUUAUCGCCUUUGGAUGGUCCCGCGUUGGAUUAGCUGGUUGUUAGGGUAAAAGCCUACUAAGGCUUCGAUCCAUAGCUGGUUUGAGAGGAUGGGCAGCCAAACUGGGAGGGAGACACAGCCCAGAAUCCUACGGGAGGGAGCAGAGGGGGAUAUUGGACAAUGGGCGGAAGGCUGAUCGAGCAAUGACGGGUGAGUGAUGAAGGCCUUAGGGUUGUAAAGCGCUUUUAACCGGGAUGAUAAUGACAGUACCGGGAGAAUAAGCUCCGGCUAACUCCGUG